This 384-nucleotide unclassified non-coding RNA is filed under the name soil metagenome. Its description in RNAcentral is "partial contains 5.8S ribosomal RNA, internal transcribed spacer 2, and large subunit ribosomal RNA". The stretch from base 1 to 120 matches the Rfam family "5.8S ribosomal RNA", at positions 35 to 154 of the family's 154-position model. The record is from RNAcentral.
GAUGAAGAACGCAGCGAAAUGCGAUAAGUAAUGUGAAUUGCAGAAUUCAGUGAAUCAUCGAAUCUUUGAACGCACCUUGCACCCUUUGGCAUUCCGAAGGGUAUGCUCGUUUGAGUGUCAUUGUACUCUCACUCUCCCGAUGCUUUUGGAUCGGGAGUGCUGGACUUGGGUGUUGCUGCUUUGCUGUGGCUCGCCUCAAAUGGAGUAGUGCAACUCUUGGUUGGACAUAGUACGGCGUGAUAAGUGUCUUCGCCGGCGCCUCAUUAUAGAGGGUGGCCGAUCGGGAGCUCUGUGCUUCAAACCGUCUUCGGACAACAUCUGACAACUUGACCUCAAAUCGAGUAGGACUACCCGCUGAACUUAAGCAUAUCAAUAAGCGGAGGA